Molecule: long non-coding RNA, 2961 nt
Filed under: Sus scrofa (pig)
Lineage: Eukaryota; Metazoa; Chordata; Mammalia; Artiodactyla; Suidae
Description: lncRNA (ENSSSCG00055015422.1)
Source: RNAcentral
AAAUCUCGGGCGACAGGCUUUGCGCGACUUGUACCGCCCGUGUAGCCGAGUUUGGGUCAUUCUUUCAGGGUUUUUUUGUUUGUCCGCGCAUCUGAGAAGUGGGUGUAGAGAGCAUGGUAAAGAUGGAAGAACUCUUUGUUGUUGUUGUUGUUAUCUGAGCUGGAGCUGCAGCAAUGAUGGAUCCUUUAACCCACUGCAUCUGGCCAGGGAUCAAACCCAUGCCUCUGCAGCAACCCAAGCUGCCACAGUCAGCUUCACCUGCCACAUCACAGCGGGAACUCUAGGGUGGAAGGAUUUUUUUUCUUUUCUUUUUAGGGCUGCACCUGCAGCAUAUGUAAGUUACCAGGCCAGGGGUCUAAUCAGAGCUCAGCUGCCCGUCUACACUGAUGCCUAUGCAGCAACAUGGAUUCGCGCCUCAUCUGCACCCUAUACCACAGCUCUCACUGAGCGAGGCCAGGAAUUGAACCCACGUCCUCAUGGAUAUUAGUCAGGUUCUUAAUCUGAAGAACCACAACAGGACCUCUGUGGGGUGAGAGAAUUCUUUCUGUCCCUAUUUUAUAGGUCUUCUCCCUCUUCUGUGUGCAAAGCACCAGUAAUAAGCCACUGUCAUCACCCUGGUGACCUGGGCUUCCUUUGCCAUGCCUCCUGAAGCUGUCAGCCCUUGGACCAUGUGCAAGGAAAAUCAAAAUGGAGUGGGCAUUAGUAAGAGAGCUCUCCAAAAUGGAGCCAGGAGGCCACUGGGACAAGGACGUGAUGAUAAACCAGUCUCAGUCCGGGCUUCUCUUGGUUCGCUCCAGCCUUGGAUGGGCUUUUCCCCUCACAUCCCAAGAUGACUACCGGAAGUUUCAGCUGCCGGCUCACACCCCAGCCCCAGCAAUGCCACAUCCGAGCUGUGUCUGCAACCUACACCACAGCUCAUAACAACGCUGGAUCCUUUAACCCACUGAGUGAGGCCAGGGAUCGAACCUGCAUCCUCAUGGAUACUAGUCAGAUUCGUUUCCGCUGUGCCACAAUGGGAACUCCUAAGGAUGGAGCCUUCUUAAUAAAAACAAAACUGGAUACUAGACCAAGAAUCUCCUUGUGAACUGCAGGCAGCUGGACCCUGAGGUUGCACCCUUGUUCAGACCCUCUGGGUUUGUUUGUUUUUUUCUCAGCUUUCCCAGCUGUGUACAAACUCUUCCUUUUAUACCUUCUAUUAUAACUGAAACAGCUAGAACAUACAAUCCCUACCUCAAAAAGGACUCUUUAAAAUUUUUUUAUUUUUUAUUUUUAUUUAUUUAUUUUUUUUGCUUUCUAGGGCCACACCCACAGCAUAUGGAGGUUCCCAGGCUAGGGGUCAAUUGGAGCUGUAGCUGCUGGCCUACACCACAGCCACAGCAACAUGAGAUCCAAGCCUCGUCUGUGAUCUACACCACCGUUCACGGCAACGCCAGAUCCUUAACCCACUGAGCAAGGCCAGGGAUCAAACCCGAAUCCUCAUGGAUACUAGUCAGGUUUGUUAACCGCUGAGCCAUGAUGGGAGCUCCAAGAAGGAUUCUUUUCUUUUGCGAAAGCAACAACAACAACAAUAAGCCCAACAAGUAGAUUUCUACUUGUUAGUAGUUGUUUUUUCUAGGAUUGGUUGACCUAAUGAUACUCAUAAUGAAAAGUCUACUGUAAAUUCUUCAAUGACGUUAAAUAUCUUUGUAUUUCAUGAAAGAUGCUAUUUCUACAUUUAUUGGACUGUUAUAUAUAUGUGUGUGAUACCUUGUUUAUUCAGCCUACAGGCAAAAACUUAGUGAUUAUGUGGGUUUUGAGAAGUCUGGCAAUAAUUCCUCAGUCUCAUGAUUGGGAUAGAAAAUGCUAAGAAAGAAGAGGUACCUUAGGUGCAAGUACAGACUGUCCUAAAAUUCAGGAGCCCCAAUUCAUAGCAGAUCUCAGAAAAAUAAGGGACUUUCCCCCUCUUGAUCUCUUUCUUCCUCAGUAUCAGUUCUGAAUCUAGAAAGAUGUUCCUUCAGAAUCCCCCAAAGAAAUAUGCAUGGUACAAGUAAUUAAGACUUGGGUUAGAACACAUUUUUGUUAUGGUAAUACUUUUAGGCUCAGUCAUGAGGGGUGAAGGUGUGAUCCAUUGUAUUCUAAAGUAGUUGAAUGCUUGGUUUAGUUCCAAGAUGGACCCGUUUAUAACAAUUUGUGUGUGUGUGUGUGUUUUUUAGGGCCGCGCCUGUGGCAUAUGGAAGUUCCUAGGCCAGGGGUCGAAUCAAAGCUACAGCUGCUGGCCUACGCCGAGGCACAGCAACUCAGGAUCCAAGCCGCAUCUGUGACCUACACCACAGCUCAUGGCAAUGCCAGAUCCUUAACUUACUGAGUGAGGCCAGGAAUCCAACCCGCAUCCUUAUGGAUCCCAGUGGGAUUCAUUAACCGCUGAGCAGUUAAAGGAACUCCCUAACAAAUUUUUAAAAAACAUAAUGGCAUUCAAAAGAAAGUGAUGCUGGAGUUCCCGCUGUGGCUCAGUAGGUUAAAAAUCCAACUGCAGCAGCUCGGAUCACUGUGGAGGCAUGGGUUCGAUCCCUGUUUCAACACAGUGGUUAAGGAUCUGGCAUCACUGCAGCUGGGGCAUAGGUAACAGCUCUGGCUCGGAUUCCAUCCCAGACCUGGGAACUUCCAUAUGCUGUGGAUGCAGCCAUAAAAAGAAAAGAAAAGACAAGAGAAAUUGAUUAGGGUUGUAAUUGUGCAACGUGAUAAAUAUAAUAAACACCGUUUAUGUUAUAUAGGAAACUUGUUAAGAGAGAAAACCCGAGUUUCCAUCACAAGUAAAAAAAGUUUUGUCUCUUUAAUUUUGUAUCUCUAUGAAAUGCAGAUAUUCACUUAACUUAUUGUGGUCAUCAUUUCAUAAUGUAUGUAAGUCUAGUUAUUAUACUGCUCACCUUAAACUUAACAUAGUACUUUAUGUCAAUUAUCUCUCAAUAAAGCUAGAGGAAAAAA